Molecule: non-coding RNA, 89 nt
Organism: Musa acuminata subsp. malaccensis (wild Malaysian banana)
Lineage: Eukaryota; Viridiplantae; Streptophyta; Magnoliopsida; Zingiberales; Musaceae
Source: Rfam
GAGCCUGAUGAUACGGGUAUGUCGCCCCAGUCUUACGGUCCGUUCGUUCUUUCGAAUGGGCGAUGGUGAACGACAAUUCUAUCUGAUUC